This 849-nucleotide long non-coding RNA is filed under the name Glycine max (soybean). Its description in RNAcentral is "long non-coding RNA (GMAX_LNC002329)". The record is from RNAcentral. Lineage: Eukaryota; Viridiplantae; Streptophyta; Magnoliopsida; Fabales; Fabaceae.
CGUGUAAUUUAUUGAUUGAUUUUUAUUUUCUAACUUUUCUUCUGCCAUUUAUCAUUUUAUUGUAAUUUUUUAAUUUAAUUUUCUUAACUUCUUUAUGUAGUUUUUUAAUUAUUUUAAUUUUAGUGUAAUGACUUCUUUUGUAUUUUUUUCUUUAAAUUCAGAUUUUAAACAAAAAUUUCUUUCAUUUUCUUUCUCGACUGCAUCAUAACUUUUAAUUUUGAUUAUGUUGCAAACGUGAAUGAUUCUUUUUUUUUUUUCUAACACUUCCAUUUUCUUCCACCUAAGAUUCAUUAUAGUUCAUUUUUUUGUUUUUUGGUCGUUCUUUUCCUAACUUUAUUUGGUUCAGGUGAAAUGAGAAAUGAAACUAUAAUACAAUGAAUUUCAUUUAUUUGUUCGAAGGCAGGCGGAAAGAAAAUUUGUUACAAAUUGGUAGAUCCCAUCUGGGAUGACUUCCCCUCUAUGCAUCAUUUGAAACAAAAUUCAAUUGUAAAAGACAACAAGCUCUUUGUGUCAUCUUUGUUUUGCUUGAUUAUUAAAAAGACAACAAUUUAAGUGUAAAAUUAAUUUAUCAACAAGUUUUAUUUUUCUCUACGUCUCUUUGCUGUUAUAGGUGACUAUUUCUCCAACAACUUCACAUCAUUGCACGUGCUUUAUUUUAUGCUUCAAAGUGAACUUUAGGAGUUAUGCUAAUAUUUAUCUUUCACAAUCACAACAUGAUUUUUCUAUUUUAUUUUAAGUGUAUUUUUAGUUUUAAGAAAUUGUGCUAAUAUAUUGAAGAGUUGAUGUCUAAUUCAACUUUUGAUUGUGUUUAUUGUUUAAUAAUACGAAGAAAUAUACGUAAUAUUUUCU